RNAcentral lists this long non-coding RNA (733 nucleotides) under Ananas comosus (pineapple). RNAcentral's name for it is "long non-coding RNA (ACOM_LNC031341)". Lineage: Eukaryota; Viridiplantae; Streptophyta; Magnoliopsida; Poales; Bromeliaceae. The record is from RNAcentral.
GACUCUGAACAAUCUGAGGAGGACGCUGCGUGAAUUGCUAUCAAGAGGCUCCGUGACGAACUUGGCUUUGAAGUUAAGGAUCUAUAUCUAUACCUAUACAUUAUUUCCCAUGAAGCCUUGCCACGUGGCAGUCCCUCCUUUAUCCUUACCUUCUCCUCUCUUCUCUAAUCACAAUUGUUAACCUUUGAUAUUCCAAUCAAUGAACGAUUUUAAACCCAUACUCUUCAUCUCCCCAUUAAGGAGUUACUAACGCAUCAUUAACUUUAAUAAUUACGAUGAUCCACACAAUUAGCACCACUAAAACCCCAUCAUCAUCAUUCUUCUCUUCUCUAAUCACAAUUAUUAACCUUUGAUCUUCCAAUCAAUGAACGAUCUUAAACCUACACUCUUCAUCUCCCCACCAAGGAGUUACUAACGCAUCAUUAACUUUAAUAAUUACGAUGAUCCACACAAUUAGCACCACUAAAACCCCAUCAUCAUCAUCUCCUCAUUCUCCAAAACCAAAUACUACACUCCAACAAUGUUCUAUGUUACAAACCAACUCUUUUUUCUAUUAUUCUUAUUAUUAUUCUCGAACGCGAGUACGAACCCGUCAACGCCAUUCAGGUCGAGCCAUGAUUGUUCGGGCGCGUUGUUUGUUUUCAAUGAAUGCUUCGAGUUUGUGGAGGGCGGGGCGAACGGGGCCGAAUCGGGGUUGUUGCUCCGGGAUCGGUCACAUGCUGAGCCGGAGCGU